AAUACAAGUCCGUUGGUGAUGCGCGAAUCGGCCAGCUGCCCGGGAGGCAGGGAGCGCUGAGGACCUGGAAGAGCUGUUCCCCCUCCGCCCGCUAAGAAGAGAAUGCUCCUGAGAAGUCUCUUCCUCUUGACAGACCACCAAGUCUGUCAUGGGCACCUUCCAUGGCAUCCUGUGCUUCCCCAGUCAGCACUGACCUCCUUGAUGAAGAAAGAAAAAGCCAUAUGAUCGUGUCAGUAGUUGGAGAAAAAGUAUUCGACUAAAUUCUACAGCUGUUCAGGAUAAAAGCUAUCAGGAGACUGGAAGAAGACCAGAACCUUCUCAACAGAUCAAAGACAUGUACUCCAUACUUCCAGGAAAAAUGCCUUAUAUGAAUGGAGAAGAUACAGCGCUUUCUCCCUAAGUGUACUGUUUUUGUGAUUCAUCUGUGCUGUCAUGUAUUGCCGGAAGUGUUGAGUUGAGUGGUGUUCAGUUGUACUCAUAUGCUACAGACUUUUUUUCCCAUUGCACCCAGAAGUAGAUAUGACACUUAUGGAAAUGUUGCCUCUCAACUCCCAAUCUACCCUUCAUUACUUGCUCUGUGGUAGAUAGCAUAGCCCCUUUAGUUUCGCCUGAGAGAACAGAGUUAAAUAAACUGUGCCAGUAGAUGGCGUUAGAGGGCCAUUGCACGCGGAAGGAUCUUCUUUUCCUGGUUCUAUUGUGCUCUUAUUUAGUUUUCUUUUUCCUACUGUCCUGUACCCACACGAGUGUUGACAUGCAUUAGCGGUCUGCCCCAGAUGUCCGUCCCCAUCACAUUAUGCCUCUGAGCGCCCAGCCCUAGCUCAGGCCCAAGUUGGUACAGCCCUCCCAGUGAGGACUCUGUUCACUUACGGCCUUGAACUGUCCAGAUAGUGGGUAGGCCCUGAGGCCUUAACUCCCACUGUGUGUCAACCGCCAGCUUCCCCUGACC
Long non-coding RNA from Heterocephalus glaber (naked mole-rat), 946 nucleotides. The record is from Ensembl. Lineage: Eukaryota; Metazoa; Chordata; Mammalia; Rodentia; Bathyergidae.